CCUUAAUAUAUAAAAUAUAAUAGAGCUAAAACUCGUAAUCUGGUUAUAACAUGUUAAAUGAUGAUUAUAUCCAAAAGAUUAAAAGAGUUAAGCAUAUGUACUAGAACUAAAAUAGCUAGAACCGAUCAUGCAGUGAACAAAAUUUAACGCUCCUGAGAUAUGAAAUAGUUCUAUAUAUGAGAUAUAAUAUGAUUAAAUUUUGUAAUUUUGUCAUAACAUGUUGCACGGUAGCUAGAUUCAAAAUGUUGAUUAAGACGGUUGAGCAUAUUAGAGAUAGGGUAGUU
Molecule: long non-coding RNA, 284 nt
Filed under: Ananas comosus (pineapple)
Lineage: Eukaryota; Viridiplantae; Streptophyta; Magnoliopsida; Poales; Bromeliaceae
Description: long non-coding RNA (ACOM_LNC007515)
Source: RNAcentral